GCAAACUUGGUCAUUUAGAGGAAGUAAAAGUCGUAACAAGGUUUCCGUAGGUGAACCUGCGGAAGGAUCAUUAGUAGAGAGUGAAGGUUGUAUUUUAGACUAGUUUCUUUCUUUCUUUACGAGGUGGUUGGGCAAGCCCAACCAUGAGUAAAGAUAAAGAGUAAAGAGGAGUAAAGCAAGAUGAGCCAAGGAUAAUCCCAAACCCCACUUGUCACACUCUAACCCUAGUAAAAUUUAUUCACAUUUAAUCACCAACAAUAUUACAAGAGAACCUUGCUGCAAUGGAUCUCUCGGCUCUUGCAUCGAUGAAGAACGCAGC
RNAcentral lists this unclassified non-coding RNA (319 nucleotides) under uncultured fungus. Its description in RNAcentral is "partial contains small subunit ribosomal RNA, internal transcribed spacer 1, and 5.8S ribosomal RNA". The stretch from base 1 to 73 matches the Rfam family "Eukaryotic small subunit ribosomal RNA", at positions 1759 to 1831 of the family's 1831-position model. The record is from RNAcentral. Lineage: Eukaryota; Fungi.